GGCAUUGUCACUGCUGUGGCACGAAUUUGAUCCCUGGCCCAGGAACCUCCUCAUGCCCCAGGCACAGCCAAAAAACAAAAGAUGAACGUAAAUAAAAAAUCUUGUUAAUAAAUUUUAUGAAGUGCCUAAUGUCAACAAAAUAUUAGUAAAAUAAAUACAGGCAAUAUAACAUUAAAUAAUAUUCAGAUGUAAGUAAAUCUUAUUUCCAAAGGCCAUCUUCAUAUUGUCUCAAGAUUCAGCUGCUCGGGUUUAGUAGCUGUACAUUUUAUGAGCUCUGAUUGGUAGUACUUAGAUAUAACAAUAAAAAUAGUAAUUUCAUUCAUAGAUAAAAGAAGGAUCAUUCAUCUAUUCGCUGUGAAACUAUUCAGCCCUAACAUAUGCCAGCAGCAACAUAUUAGGUAUUUAAUCAGGAAAGACAAGAGUUGGAUUUACAAAAAAGACAUAUAAAGUCUCUUUCUUGGAGAAGUUAGGACAAAUUCAACAUUGAUUAAACAUCAUGGAUAAAUGCCAGGUAAUAUGAGAAGUAAUCACACACACACACACACACACACACACACACACACACACAUACACACAAACAAUAACCACUGAAUAAGAACAUAUUUUAUCUCUGGAACUCUGCUAGAUGCUUUAUCUAUAUGAUGUCAUUUAAUCCUCGGAGACCCUGUAAGGUAAGGGUUCUCUCCGUUUUAGUUACAAGGAAAUUAAGGCACAAAGAAGUGAAUGAAGUAAGUAGCCUGGUGUUACGCAGGUCUGCUGAUCCUGGACUUAAUCCCUAAUCUUCCAGGUUUCAAAGUCCACACAGGUUCUCCCUGGGCUACGGUUCGCUCCCCAGCGCAGGGUAGCACAUCAGUAAAAUGCCGCACCCAAAACGAAGCACCUUCCAGAUGGCAAUUUAGGAUUAAGCUUUUCUUUGUUUCCAGGCUGUUCUUUGUUUCUGUCACUUCUGAAAGAGGGGAUAUGUGAACUUCACUUGAAGGAAAAUUAGGGAUGCGGAAUGGAGCUGAUGGUAAAGAAGAAAGACAUUCCCAGAGAAGAUGAGGAAGGAGCAAUGCGAGAAGUGAGACAUUAAAACAGGGCCUGACGUUAGUGUCAGUACCUGGAGCAAUGGAUCAAGAUUGGAGGGAUGCUUGGAGCAAGUAAGGAGCGACCGCCUGGUGGAAGAGGUCGGCGCGCCAACUGUCCUGGAAAUAAAGGACGUGGGGGUGGAGGCAGGGGACAGAUCUUGUCGUACAGGAAGUACGCGAGGCAACGACCUCAGGGUCAGGGUCAGGAAUCAGAGAUGAAGCAUCGGUGAUGGAGGACUGUCCUGGGCCAGAAUCAAGGACAUGGAUGCGAGUCACUCGAUUUUCACAGACCAAAGCAUAUCCUAAGAGACACUUCAGUCGAUUUCAGGAGUUUGAGCCUAAAGGAGUGCUUUCUUCAAGGAUUUUAUUAGAAAUGCUAUUUCAACCUUGAAUCAUGACCUUCCAAGGAAGAUGAAUACUUUUGUCUCCUUCCUCCUCCUUUCUCCUUCUGCCAAUUGGAACGUGGAUAUAGUGGUGAUUACCAUGGAUGAAAGCAAGAGCUAAGGAUGGCAGAGCAAUAAGAUAGAGGAAGUCUUGUUCCUGACACUGUCGAGCCUUCAUAUCAGCCCUGGGAUUCUUCAAUCUAGUUUGUUACAUCAGAGAGAGGUAAAGUUCCACCAUGUUUAAAUAAGUUUUAUUUUGCCUUUAGUCCAACAACUGAAUCUAAACUCUAAUUUGAUUGGUCCAUCAAGUCUUCUUCAGUGAUAUCAUUUUGUAUUCUGCCAUUCCUAAAGUAGUGGCAACGAGAUAGGAUGAAUCCCCUUCUUUGGAAACAAAUAAUUUGAAUAAUUUCAAGGAAUAUUUUUGAUCAGUUGGUUUAAUUUAAAUAACUAUUUAUUAUGAGUUGGGGAUAAACCUAUGAUCAACAAAAAUAUUAUUUUAUCAGCAGAGACAAUCAACUAGUUUGAAUGAGAACCAACUAUUGUUACACUAGGUCACAAGGGGUACAGGUUACUUCAUGUUUAUAAAAGGCUCUGAGCGUCAAAUACAUAAAAACACAAGGUAUCUUAAUGCAUGUACUUUGUGACAAAGGUUGUAAAAUCAAAGAUGACUAUAGCAAUUAUGCAGAAAAAAUUCAUCUAGAAACAAAGGAAAAGCAUAUAUGUUAGAGGAAAUAGAAGUGUGUCUACAAAUUACCUCUACCUAUCUCAAAGUCACAUAUUAUUAUGUGGAAGCAUUACAGACUCAAACUUCAUGGAAUAGGGUAUUUGAAUACAGAACAUCUUAUUAAACAUCAGUUUGCAAGAAUAACAGACUUUUGAAAAAAUAAUGUUUAUGUUUAUUGCCCUAAUUCUGGGACAUGUAUCAAUCUAGAGAGAGAGAGAGA
Sus scrofa (pig) is the source of this 2394-nucleotide non-coding RNA. The record is from RefSeq and is a predicted model, not a curated record. Lineage: Eukaryota; Metazoa; Chordata; Mammalia; Artiodactyla; Suidae.